This 253-nucleotide ribosomal RNA is filed under the name uncultured bacterium. RNAcentral's name for it is "partial 16S ribosomal RNA". It matches the Rfam family "Bacterial small subunit ribosomal RNA", at positions 524 to 776 of the family's 1533-position model. The record is from RNAcentral.
UACGUAGGGCGCAAGCGUUGUCCGGAAUUAUUGGGCGUAAAGGGCUCGUAGGCGGUUUGUCGCGUCGGGAGUGAAAACCAUGGGCUUAACUCAUGGCUUGCUUCCGAUACGGGCAGACUAGAGGUAUGCAGGGGAGAACGGAAUUCCUGGUGUAGCGGUGAAAUGCGCAGAUAUCAGGAGGAACACCGGUGGCGAAGGCGGUUCUCUGGGCAUUACCUGACGCUGAGGAGCGAAAGUGUGGGGAGCGAACAGG